Molecule: ribosomal RNA, 253 nt
Filed under: uncultured bacterium
Lineage: Bacteria
Description: partial 16S ribosomal RNA
Rfam family: Bacterial small subunit ribosomal RNA
Source: RNAcentral
UACAGAGGUCUCAACCGUUGUUCGGAUUCAUUGGGCGUAAAGGGUGCGUAGGCGGUCGGGUAAGUCGGAUGUGAAAUCUCAGGGCUCAACCCUGAAACUGCAUUCGAUACUGCCUGGCUAGGGUACUGGAGAGGAGACUGGAAUUUACGGUGUAGCAGUGAAAUGCGUAGAUAUCGUAAGGAAGACCAGUGGCGAAGGCGAGUCUCUGGGCCGAUACUGACGCUGAGGAGCGAAAGCGUGGGGAGCGAACAGG